Molecule: ribosomal RNA, 458 nt
Filed under: uncultured bacterium
Lineage: Bacteria
Description: partial 16S ribosomal RNA
Rfam family: Bacterial small subunit ribosomal RNA
Source: RNAcentral
AACGAACGCUGGCGGUAUGCCUAACACAUGCAAGUCGAACGAGACCUCAGGGACUAGUUGCGCACGGGUGCGUAACGCGUGGGAAGCUGCCCGUAGGCUCGGAAUAACACUCCGAAAGGGGUGCUAAUAUCGGAAAACGUCCUCUGAUAAAAGAUUUAUCGUCCUGGGAUGGGCCCGGGAUGGUUGAGCUUGUCGGGAGGGAAAAAGCCUAUGACGGCGACGAUAGUUAGCGGGUCUCAGAGGAUGAACAGCCACACUGGGAGUGAGACAUGGCACAGACACCUGCGGGAGGCAGCAGCGGGGACUCUUAGAGAAUGGGGGCAAGGCUGAUACAGGAAUAUCGCGUGAGUGAAGAACCCGCUCGGGCUGUAAAGUGCUGUUGUUGUGAAAGAUAAACAGCAGUUUAACCCCCCGUUGUACUGACGGUACCCAAAGAAUAAGCACCGGCUAACUCCGUG